UACGGAGGGUGCAAGCAUUGAUCGGAUUUACUGGGCGUAAAGGGCGCGUAGGCGGACGAAAAAGUCAGAUGUGAAAUCCCAUGGCUCAACUAUGGGGCUGCAUUUGAAACUCUUUGUCUUGAGGUAUGGCGGAGAAAACGGAAUUCCGCAUGUAGCGGUGAAAUGCGUAGAUAUGCGGAGGAACACCGGUGGCGAAAGCGGUUUUCUAGCUAUUACCUGACGCUGAGGCGCGAGAGCAUAGGUAGCAAACAGG
RNAcentral lists this ribosomal RNA (253 nucleotides) under uncultured bacterium. RNAcentral describes it as "partial 16S ribosomal RNA". It matches the Rfam family "Bacterial small subunit ribosomal RNA", at positions 524 to 776 of the family's 1533-position model. The record is from RNAcentral.